Molecule: long non-coding RNA, 457 nt
Filed under: Gallus gallus (chicken)
Lineage: Eukaryota; Metazoa; Chordata; Aves; Galliformes; Phasianidae
Description: lncRNA (ENSGALG00010007057.1)
Source: RNAcentral
GGAAAGAUCAGAAAGAACAGAAAUAACGGAAAUAAUAACGGAAAUAGCAGAAAAAAAUAACGGAAAUAAUAACGGAAAUAACGGAAAUAACGGAAAGAACCUCCAGAGAGACAGAAACAUACGGCAGAAAAUUAGGUGACAGGUCUAGAACAACAACAGACAUAACGGAAAUAACGGAAGUAAUGGAAAUAACCUCCAGAGAGACAGAAACAAAUGGCAGAAAAUUAGGUGACAGGUGAAGAACAACAACGGAAAGAUCAGAAAGAACAGAAAUAACGGAAAUAAUAACGGAAAUAGCAGAAAAAAAUAACGGAAAUAAUAACGGAAAUAACGGAAAUAACGGAAAGAACCUCCAGAGAGACAGAAACAUACGGCAGAAAAUUAGGUGACAGGUCUAGAACAACAACAGACAUAACGGAAAUAACGGAAGUAAUGGAAAUAACCUCCAGAGAGACAG